This 1466-nucleotide ribosomal RNA is filed under the name Enterococcus durans. Its description in RNAcentral is "bacterial SSU rRNA". It matches the Rfam family "Bacterial small subunit ribosomal RNA". Lineage: Bacteria; Bacillati; Bacillota; Bacilli; Lactobacillales; Enterococcaceae. The record is from RNAcentral.
GCGGGGCGGCAUGCUAAUACAUGCAAGUCGUACGCUUCUUUUUCCACCGGAGCUUGCUCCACCGGAAAAAGAAGAGUGGCGAACGGGUGAGUAACACGUGGGUAACCUGCCCAUCAGAAGGGGAUAACACUUGGAAACAGGUGCUAAUACCGUAUAACAAUCGAAACCGCAUGGUUUUGAUUUGAAAGGCGCUUUCGGGUGUCGCUGAUGGAUGGACCCGCGGUGCAUUAGCUAGUUGGUGAGGUAACGGCUCACCAAGGCCACGAUGCAUAGCCGACCUGAGAGGGUGAUCGGCCACAUUGGGACUGAGACACGGCCCAAACUCCUACGGGAGGCAGCAGUAGGGAAUCUUCGGCAAUGGACGAAAGUCUGACCGAGCAACGCCGCGUGAGUGAAGAAGGUUUUCGGAUCGUAAAACUCUGUUGUUAGAGAAGAACAAGGAUGAGAGUAACUGUUCAUCCCUUGACGGUAUCUAACCAGAAAGCCACGGCUAACUACGUGCCAGCAGCCGCGGUAAUACGUAGGUGGCAAGCGUUGUCCGGAUUUAUUGGGCGUAAAGCGAGCGCAGGCGGUUUCUUAAGUCUGAUGUGAAAGCCCCCGGCUCAACCGGGGAGGGUCAUUGGAAACUGGGAGACUUGAGUGCAGAAGAGGAGAGUGGAAUUCCAUGUGUAGCGGUGAAAUGCGUAGAUAUAUGGAGGAACACCAGUGGCGAAGGCGGCUCUCUGGUCUGUAACUGACGCUGAGGCUCGAAAGCGUGGGGAGCAAACAGGAUUAGAUACCCUGGUAGUCCACGCCGUAAACGAUGAGUGCUAAGUGUUGGAGGGUUUCCGCCCUUCAGUGCUGCAGCUAACGCAUUAAGCACUCCGCCUGGGGAGUACGACCGCAAGGUUGAAACUCAAAGGAAUUGACGGGGGCCCGCACAAGCGGUGGAGCAUGUGGUUUAAUUCGAAGCAACGCGAAGAACCUUACCAGGUCUUGACAUCCUUUGACCACUCUAGAGAUAGAGCUUCCCCUUCGGGGGCAAAGUGACAGGUGGUGCAUGGUUGUCGUCAGCUCGUGUCGUGAGAUGUUGGGUUAAGUCCCGCAACGAGCGCAACCCUUAUUGUUAGUUGCCAUCAUUUAGUUGGGCACUCUAGCAAGACUGCCGGUGACAAACCGGAGGAAGGUGGGGAUGACGUCAAAUCAUCAUGCCCCUUAUGACCUGGGCUACACACGUGCUACAAUGGGAAGUACAACGAGUCGCGAAGUCGCGAGGCUAAGCUAAUCUCUUAAAGCUUCUCUCAGUUCGGAUUGUAGGCUGCAACUCGCCUACAUGAAGCCGGAAUCGCUAGUAAUCGCGGAUCAGCACGCCGCGGUGAAUACGUUCCCGGGCCUUGUACACACCGCCCGUCACACCACGAGAGUUUGUAACACCCGAAGUCGGUGAGGUAACCUUUUGGAGCCAGCCGCCCUAAAGGGGGAAAGGU